AAGGAUAUAACUCAACAGUAAAGUGUCACCUUGACGUGGUGGAAGUUAUUAGUUCGAGCCUAAUUGCCCCUA
Molecule: non-coding RNA, 72 nt
Organism: Amborella trichopoda
Lineage: Eukaryota; Viridiplantae; Streptophyta; Magnoliopsida; Amborellales; Amborellaceae
Source: Rfam